Molecule: small RNA, 207 nt
Filed under: Pseudomonas flexibilis
Lineage: Bacteria; Pseudomonadati; Pseudomonadota; Gammaproteobacteria; Pseudomonadales; Pseudomonadaceae
Description: Serpens flexibilis PhrS
Rfam family: PhrS
Source: Rfam by way of RNAcentral
AUCAACCAGCACGUGGUGAGGAGCCCGGACAUGUUUAUCGAUGAAGUGGUAUUGGCAGGCGUACUUAUCGUCGGACUCUGCGUCGUCUUCUGCGCCGGGUUCGCCUAUUUCAUCUGGAAGGACUCGAAGAAAACCAAGAGCAACUGAUCCUUCCUGAUCAAAGAGCACGCAAGGCAUUUUGGGCGACUUCGGUCGCCCAUUUUUUUG